RNAcentral lists this ribosomal RNA (1439 nucleotides) under uncultured bacterium. RNAcentral's name for it is "bacterial SSU rRNA". It matches the Rfam family "Bacterial small subunit ribosomal RNA". The record is from RNAcentral.
AGGGUUUGAUCAUGGCUCAGAACGUACGCUGGCGGCACGCCUAACACAUGCAAGUCGAACGAAGUAGCAAUACUUAGUGGCAGACGGGUGAGUAACAUGUAGGUAUCUACCCUUUGGCCUGGAAUAACACGAGGAAACUUGUGCUAAUACCGGAUAAGUCUUUACGGAGAAAGCUUUAUGCACCAUUGGAUGAGCCUGCACUUGAUUAGUUUGUUGGUGGGGUAAUGGCCUACCAAGACUUUGAUCAAUAGCUGAUUUGAGAGGAUGAUCAGCCACAUUGGGACUGAGACACGGCCCAAACUCCUACGGGAGGCAGCAGUGGGGAAUCUUGCACAAUGGAGGAAACUCUGAUGCAGCGAUGCCGCGUGAGUGAAGAAGGCCCUUGGGUUGUAAAGCUCUUUCGUCGGGGAAGAAAAUGACUGUACCCGAAUAAGAAGGUCCGGCUAACUUCGUGCCAGCAGCCGCGGUAAUACGAAGGGACCUAGCGUAGUUCGGAAUUACUGGGCUUAAAGAGUUCGUAGGUGGUUGAAAAAGUUGGUGGUGAAAUCCCAGAGCUUAACUCUGGAACUGCCAUCAAAACUUUUCAGCUAGAGUUUGAUAGAGGAAAGCAGAAUUUCUAGUGUAGAGGUGAAAUUCGUAGAUAUUAGAAAGAAUACCAAUUGCGAAGGCAGCUUUCUGGAUCAUUACUGACACUGAGGAACGAAAGCAUGGGUAGCGAAGAGGAUUAGAUACCCUCGUAGUCCAUGCCGUAAACGAUGUGUGUUAGACGUUGGAAAUUUAUUUUCAGUGUCGCAGCAAAAGCGAUAAACACACCGCCUGGGGAGUACGACCGCAAGGUUAAAACUCAAAUGAAUUGACGGGGACCCGCACAAGUAGUGGAGCAUGUGGUUUAAUUCGAAGAUACGCGCAGAACCUUACCAACACUUGACAUGUUCGUCGCGACUUUAAGAGAUUAAAGUUUUCGGUUCGGCCGGACGAAACACAGGUGCUGCAUGGCUGUCGUCAGCUCGUGUCGUGAGAUGUUGGGUUAAGUCCCGCAACGAGCGCAACCCUCACUUUUAGUUGCCAUCAUUAAGUUGGGCACUCUGAAAGAACUGCCAGUGAUAAGCUGGAGGAAGGUGGGGAUGACGUCAAGUCCUCAUGGCCCUUACGUGUUGGGCUACACACGUGCUACAAUGGUAUCUACAACAGGAAGCAAAACAGCGAUGUUAAGCAAAUCCUUAAAAGAUACCUCAGUUCGGAUUGCACUCUGCAACUCGAGUGCAUGAAGCUGGAAUUACUAGUAAUCGUGGAUCAGCGUGCCACGGUGAAUGCGUUCCCGGGUCUUGUACACACCGCCCGUCACACCAUGGGAGUUGGUUCUACCUUAAGGCAAGGUUUAAUACCCUUGACCACGGUAUAGUCAGCGACUGGGGUGAAGUCGUAACAAGGUAACCGUA